RNAcentral lists this unclassified non-coding RNA (334 nucleotides) under soil metagenome. Its description in RNAcentral is "partial contains 5.8S ribosomal RNA, internal transcribed spacer 2, and large subunit ribosomal RNA". The stretch from base 1 to 120 matches the Rfam family "5.8S ribosomal RNA", at positions 35 to 154 of the family's 154-position model. The record is from RNAcentral.
GAUGAAGAACGCAGCGAAAUGCGAUAAGUAAUGUGAAUUGCAGAAUUCAGUGAAUCAUCGAAUCUUUGAACGCACAUUGCGCCCCCCAGUAUUCUGGCGGGCAUGCCUGUUCGAGCGUCAUUUCAACGAUCAAGCCCUGCUUGUGUUGGGGUCCUGCGGCUGCCCGCAGGCCCUGAAAACCAGUGGCGGGCUCGCUAGACACACCGAGCGCAGUAGCACAUCUCGCUCAGGGCGUGCGGCGGGCUCCAGCCGUUAAAGCACCCACCUUUCGCAAGGUUGACCUCGGAUCAGGUAGGAAUACCCGCUGAACUUAAGCAUAUCAAUAAGCGGAGGA